UCAUCUGGUGGCGUUAUUCCAUUUUCAUCAUCCAUGGAGACCUAGAUCCUGAUUUGGAAGUUUUUGACAAAAUGUUCAGCAUCUGACUUAACAUCAUCAUUACCAAUGAAGGUCAUCCUGGUAUCCUCCUGAGCAUCCUUCUCAACUGCCCCGAGCCAUGCAUAGCUGUUCCCUGCUGUCCAUCCUACCAGAUGGCCUCAAAACAGACAGAAAAGGGACAUGGCUAAUGGUGUGUGGUGUCUUAUGUGGAGGAAAGGCCAGUAAUGACCCCUUGCAGAUGGAGCUGACCAAACACAGUCUUUCCCAUGGCAACAGAAAAAAAAUAAAAACAUAAAAUUAAAAAAAAUCGGAGGUUACAUAAUCGCCGUCACUGGACUGGGAGGAAUGCGGAGAUCAUGAAGUUGUUUGUGGCUUUUGGUCGAAGGUGUUGGGUGAAGAUACAGAAGUCCCACUGAGUAACUGAACAGGAUGCUGUGCUUGCUUUGAAGUCUGUGAUCCAUUUCGAGAUGAUUUUUGCGAAGGGUGUAAGGUCUAUGUCUAGAUUGAUUUUUUUGCAUCUGGACGACUGGUUGUUCUGGG
Long non-coding RNA from Molossus molossus (Pallas's mastiff bat), 579 nucleotides. RefSeq lists it as uncharacterized. NCBI's taxonomy places the organism in Eukaryota, Metazoa, Chordata, Mammalia, Chiroptera, Molossidae. The record is from RefSeq and is a predicted model, not a curated record. The transcript is spliced from 4 exons.